CGGCAGGCUCAGAUCUUGGAGAUGACCCACCGACGCGAUGCGUCCUGCCCGGAGAAAUCGUCGGUGGUGCCAACUUGUAGCCAUCGUGUGUGUGGAAGGUGGGGCAUUCCAAAAUUGACGAUUUUUCUGUUGUCUUCCAGGAUUCCCGAUCUGAAGUUGGGAAGCCAAAUUUGACAAUUUUCCUGUUGUCUUCCUGGGUUCCAUAGUAUUCACAUCAGUCAGCGGCCAUGCUCUAGAAGAUUUGCUAAUCAAGUUUCGCGUAUCGAAAAUCAAUUUUCUGGAGCGCUCCUUUAUGGGUGUUGGACAGGGUGAAUUAGGAGAAGGCUUUCAUGUCUCCAGGUCUAUCAAAGCUGUGGUGCCAUCUCCGACCUUCUAGCGCCUCCACCACAUCGUCGUAGCGUUUGCUCGAUGCAUCAGGGGCAAACCCCCCGACUUUCUUCCUUCUCCAGAGCCUAAGACCUCGCCGAUGAGCAGGUAUUUAAUCGCUUACAUCGAUCCCCAUUUAUAUUUCUCAAAUUAACCUUACUGUGUUGUUGAUUUUGCUUCGCACAUGUUUGUUUCCGCUCAAGUUACACUACAGGGCGAAAUCUCAAAUCUUAAAUGAUUUGCCGAUUAUUUUUGUCAUGCUUUCUAUAAUUAUAUUCAUAGAUUUUUGUAUUGUUUGCAUCCCCAAUGAUGCAUGCUUAUUGAUUUGUUCUUCUGGAUUUCCUACAUCAGUACAGGAUGCAUAGUUGGUUAUGAUACUAGGAAGGUUGGAGCUCUGAAUUUCAUUUGAUAUGCACUGUAUCCCAACAGGGAAAAAAGAUUAGAUCAGAUUGUCAAGCAGUUUAAGAGGGUUGGAGCUCUGAAUUUCAUUUGACAUGCACUAUAUCCCAACAGGAAAAUAAAAGAUUAGACCAGAUUGUCAAGCAGUUCAAGCGGUUCUUGAGGACUACAUAUUGUAUCUCUUGCUCUAUGUUUUUUGAAGUUUACUUCCAUAUAUCCAAGCAUGCAUAUGCCGUCUCACCAUCAUGUCUCAGCUUUACCAGGAGUUUUUUCUUCUUUAUUUCAGUUUCUUUCAAGAAUCAAGAUUACCUAGCACAAUGCAAGUUAGUAUACAAAUAAUUAUGUUUCAACUCAUGUACGCCUAAAGUGUUGGCUGCAUGUUGUCAUGAAAAUAGUAGCUACAUGGAUUAUAUCAGAUUAAGGUCCAAACAUGUACACACUGCACUCCGGGCAUUCUUUUAUAUUAUCCCCAUAUCAAUAUGAGCUCACACAACAUUGAUGGCCGACAACCUUAUCUUCCCUUGGAUCCACAUAUAACUGGUGGGUGAAAACUUUUAUUCUCUACUCUUGAAUCGAGCUAAUUUUUACCAUUGCAGAAUUUCAGUCACUUACAGGAACGCACUUCAACUUAUCCACCAGAGUUAAUCAGAAGUGCUUGCAUCGCACCAUACUACAAACCAUUUAGUGUCAUUCCAGAAUAAAUUGUAUGUAACACAUUUUGCUCGCCCCUUUUACCCUGUGUAAUUCUGCACAUGUUUGUAUCUCGAGCACAUGAUUUUUGAUGUACAAAUAUUUCACUACAAGUUGGGAUACGCAUUUGCAAACUUAUAUUUUGUUUGCAAACUUA
This is a long non-coding RNA of Triticum dicoccoides, 1612 nucleotides long. RefSeq lists it as uncharacterized. The record is from RefSeq and is a predicted model, not a curated record. NCBI's taxonomy places the organism in Eukaryota, Viridiplantae, Streptophyta, Magnoliopsida, Poales, Poaceae. The transcript has 2 exons.